Molecule: ribosomal RNA, 907 nt
Filed under: Phorinia spinulosa
Lineage: Eukaryota; Metazoa; Arthropoda; Insecta; Diptera; Tachinidae
Description: partial 16S rRNA
Source: RNAcentral
UAAAAUUAUUUUAAAUAAUAUAUUAGAAAUGAAAUGUUAUUCGUUUUUAAAGGUAUCUAGUUUUUUAAGAAAUAAAUUUAAUUUAGAAAUUUUAUAUUAUUUAAUUUAAUUUUUAAUUAAAUAAGUAUUUAAUUUUAAUAUUUUAUGGGAUAAGCUAUAAAAUAAAUUUUUAAAAAUUAAUAAAAAAAAUAAUAAAUAUAAACUUAGAAAUAGUUAAUAUUAGUAAAAAUGUUAUAAUUUAUUAAUUAAUUUAUAUUAUUUAUUUAAUUUUAAAUUUUUAUUAAAAUAUUUAUUAUAAUUUCAAAAAUAAAAUAAUAAUGAUAAAAUUAGUAUAUUAAAUUGUUUAAAUAGAUAAAAAUGAAAAGUUUUUAUAAAGAACUCGGCAAAAUAAUAUUCGCCUGUUUAACAAAAACAUGUCUUUUUAGUUUAUUUAAAAGGUUUGACCUGCCCACUGAAAUUUAAAUGGCCGCAGUAUUUUAACUGUGCAAAGGUAGCAUAAUCAUUAGUCUUUUAAUUGAAGGCUGGUAUGAAUGGUUGGACGAAAUAUUAACUGUUUCAUUAUAAUUUUAUUUAGAAUUUUAUUUUUUAGUUAAAAAGCUAAAAUUUAUUUAAAAGACGAGAAGACCCUAUAAAUCUUUAUAUUUAAAUUAUAAUAUAUUUCAUAGAUUUUUUUUUUUAUUAUAAUUAAUAUUAUUUUAUUGGGGUGAUAUUAAAAUUUAUAAAACUUUUAAUUUUUAAUAUCAUUUAUUUAUGAUUUAUUGAUCCAUUUUUAAUGAUUAAAAAAUUAAGUUACUUUAGGGAUAACAGCGUAAUUUUUUUGGAAAGUUCUUAUUAAUAAAAAAGAUUGCGACCUCGAUGUUGGAUUAAGAUAUAAUUUUAGGUGUAGUUGCUUAAAUUUUAAGUCUGU